RNAcentral lists this ribosomal RNA (301 nucleotides) under uncultured bacterium. RNAcentral's name for it is "partial 16S ribosomal RNA". It matches the Rfam family "Bacterial small subunit ribosomal RNA", at positions 509 to 807 of the family's 1533-position model. The record is from RNAcentral.
CAGUAGCCACGGUAAUACGUAGGGUGCGAGCGUUAAUCGGAAUUACUGGGCGUAAAGCGUGCGCAGGCGGUUCGUUAAGACAGAUGUGAAAUCCCCGGGCUUAACCUGGGAACUGCAUUUGUGACUGGCGAGCUAGAGUAUGGCAGAGGGGGGUAGAAUUCCACGUGUAGCAGUGAAAUGCGUAGAGAUGUGGAGGAAUACCGAUGGCGAAGGCAGCCCCCUGGGCCAAUACUGACGCUCAUGCACGAAAGCGUGGGGAGCAAACAGGAUUAGAUACCCCCGUAGUCCCUGUCUCUUAUAC